UGUAGUUUUGGUUUCUGGUUCAUGUACAUAUUUAUGCUGUUACUCACUGGAGCGAGAGAUGUUGUAUCAGGGAGACUUUGUAUGUAUGGUGAAUCUGAUGUUUAUUUAUAUGCAGUUCAGUUUAGUAGCUCUAUACUACUAAUUGUAGUUUUGUAUGAUUACAGAUACAGGUACAGCUAUUACUUCGUAUACAGAGGAAAUUCUUUUAUAUACGGUGGGUCUGUUGGCGUGCCUGGAAAAUCGUGGUAAUCCGGGGCGUGACAGAUUAAGUUAGUAUCAGAGCUUAGUAUUAGGUCGUUGGGACCUAGAAAACUUUAUGCUUGGCAAACCAUAGGAAGGCAAGACGCGAGAGGCGUGAUUUAUCACGAAUGUCAGCGAUUGAAUUGUUUUAACUUAUCCUAAAGUGGAGUGAGUCACUGAAGGAGUGUCUGUUUCUGUCACGCCCCGGGGCUCAGUGGAAGCCUACCCGGCGCGUGUCCAGACCCGCCAUACGUCUAAAACAUAUAAGGCGUCUACGAAAUUUUCGAUGGAUAAAACAAUAAAUAAAGCGGUAAUAAAAGGCAACUAGGAGUAUCAGAGCAUGAUAUAAUACUAAGUUCUACAACAGAAAAAAGGACAUAAAGCUGAAAGUCCACUAAAUAAGAACAUAGAGUAAGUACAAAAGGAAACCCAUAACAAGUGCUAAAAGUAGAUACAUAGGUGGUCUCUAUACAUGGAUACAGAACCUCUCACUCUCUCAACUCACAAAAAGAAAGAGCGAACCACCUAGGCAAAGAACCGCUCCUCGCUAGCUAGCUAUGCGAUCCCCUUGCCGCGAUCCCGUGCCUCCGCCGGUGCAGAAGGCUCUGAAAAGUAAACCAUAAAACAGGGGCGUGAGAACUAUUAAAAAUAGUUCCCAGUGGGCAAUUACUGACUUCAGUGAAUGCACCACAAGGCCCAAGCUACAAGGAAAAGGGUCAGUGUCUAUGAACGUAUGAAAGUGAAAGGUAAGUAGAAUGCAACUUACUACAACAUGAUAUUUCUACUUAGCAUGCAAGGCAUAAGUAUGAAAGCAACUAUGUAUGUAGUAAAAGUUUCAAACUAUCAUGAUGUCCAUAAUGCAAAAUAGUAAAGUGCCAAUGUUUACUAUUCUAGUCAAAUUCCAGUCAGUACACUAAGUCAUCAUCUGUCCAUAUGUCAUAGUAAAUGCUCAAAGUCAAAUCUGAAGAGACCCACCCGAAGGCUGUCUAAGGCCCUGAGACCCACCCGUAGGCUGUCUGGCCGGUGCCGAGCCUAAUGGCCCCGUGGUAGUCAUCAUCCCCACCCUAGGAAUGAGCCUGGCCCACGGCAAUCCACUUCGGCGCCCAAUCCCGCACGGCGAAUAUGAAUCGCGAUGGCUAUCUCCGGAGUGCCGGCUUGUAGGGAGCGACCCUCACAAGCAUGUGCGAAUGAGCACAAUGGCAAGUAGUCAAACGAUCUGUCACAAGUACCAAGUCCUCAUGUCUAAUAACAUGGAAUAUAUCACCAAUCUCAUAGGCCUAUCUCUAGGUCGUCAUGUCUCAAAUAUGGAAUAUAGUAAAUGUCAUCGUGGUCAAGUCACUAUUUCAUCAUAUCUUAAAUAUGGAAUAUAUUUGAUGUCCACGUGGCCUAUUAUCAAGCCUCUAUGUUGCAGUUUAAUAAUUCUCUCGGCCAAGUGCCUCUUUAUGACACUAUGGCUCAUUUUGUCCCAACAUGGAUACUAAGUUCAAGCACUUAUAAUUCUAGUCAAAAUCGAAGCAAGCAACAUGAUUUCCUACCAUCUCAUAGAAUGUUCGUCGCAUGCAUCUUAACAAAGCACAUUGUCUCUCUCCAUUAUAUAGAGUAAAUUUUCUUGAUGCAUAACAUAUGAGUUCUAAGCAUUCAAAAAUUCUCAUAAAUGCUACUAAACAUGAAUAUGCAUGAACUUAUGGUAAAUGAAAGCAUUUAACCGCACAGGAGGAAUUUCCUCCCAUUUCAAAUAAGCCAAACCCACCGAUGACAACGAAACUCCUCGUUUGCUCCAACGAGGGUGUCCUCUAGUCUCCUAAUACCCUAAGGAUGUAGGAACAAGCGUUACUUGAAUGAAACAAACAAUCAAUAGCUCAAACAUUGACCAUCUCAUACUAAGGGCAAAAACUCACGUCUUAUGGAAAAUCUCUUCACAAGCUCAAAAAGGAGGUUAGAACCCUUCCAAUCCAAUCUAGAGGAAGAUUCUAAUUCAAGGAAUCAAGCCUCAAAUGCCCUAAAACGAAAAUACCGAAAUAAACCCUAAAUUUUCAUUUCUAGGGUUUGAUCUCACAAAAACCUCAAAUCAAGGAUCAAAGGGAGAAAUCGAGUCUCUAACCUCUCAAGAAGCUCCCAACUUAGCUCCAAUCCAAGUGAUGUUGAAGAUCUCCGCAGCCACUAGCUCCUCUCCAAGCUCUAAGCCAUCAACAAUGGUGGAGAAGCCACCAAGAUGCAAUAGAGGAGAGAAAACCCAAUAAAAACCAAGCAAAAUGAGUAAAAAUACAAAGGAAGGGAGAGAGAGCUCCUCCUACCUCAACUCCUGCUGGUCUCAGCACAGGGGAGGCCCUAAGGGGCGUGGGGUGCACUUAUAGAAGUGCUAGAAACGCAAAAAGCCCCCUGCAGUUCAAACUGCUCAAAAUCCGCCACCUUGUACCGGUACACGGGCCCUUGUACCGGUACAAGGCCCACGAAACUGCCAAACCCGAGUUGCGGGUCUGCUGGAAAACUGCCCUUGUACCGGUAUAAGACGAGCCUUGUACCGGUACAACCAUCAGCCCUGUACCGGUACAGCCAUCAACCUUGUACCGGUACAGCACCCUGCUGAGGCUAACCUGAGAGCUGUCCAAUGAAUCCAAUUUUUGGAUUUUGGUACCAAGCUUAAAACCACAAUUCUCGGGAUGCGAGCCAUAGGUCGGAACACUGUCUACGACCUUCCAGAAAGUCUGAAAAAGCUCGACACACAGAUCAAACACUCGAACCUCGCAAUUUGCAAAGGUCCAGUGUGUUACAGUUUCGGCCAAGGAAAUUAUGUCGACUGCAGACGACAUAAUUUUGAGGAGAAACAGGAGCGGCCUUCUAGACUUUCGCUUGAUUGGGUCGAGAGUUGAUUGUGUUUUGUAUCUGACCCUUGUUUUGAUUUCAGGUAGCCAUGUAUCGAUGCCGAGGUCGACCGCCGACGCGGGAUCGUGCCGCACCAUUAGAGGUGCCUGAGUAGGCAGGGCUGAGUGUACCCCCUGAUCUGAGAGACAGUUGGCUGCCUUGACUGAGACAACGAGGCAGCACGGGGCACUGUAAUAGAGGAUGUGUGAGACAUUUACUCCACCGCCAAGCGCAGCGCCUAGAGCACUAGAGCAGUCAGCACCACCACCGACUAUUCCCGUAGCCGCACCAGCCACAUCUGUACCCCCACAAGUGACAGUUCCUUCGGCGCCAGUUGCAUUCUAUGGAGAGGCGUCGCAAAUGUCUAAGGCUGAGCAGGAGCGGAUGAUUGAGAGGCUUACUUGUUUUCGUCGGUUUGAUCCGCUGUACUUUGACGGUAGCUGUACGGAGCACUGGGUUGUAGAGGGCUGGGUAAGCGCGAUGGAGAAAUUAUUUGAGGAUUUGUUUAUAUCGGAGCUGGAUCAAGUACAUCUGGGAGUGCAUUGUUUGGCUUGCGAUGCGCAUUCUUGGUGGAGGAGGAUAAUGGACUCUACAGCAGCCGGCCAGGUGGUGGCAGGUAUCAUUUUGAUUUCUGGUAUUAGAGCUCGUACCUUAUUUGAUACCGGCAUAUCAUAUUCUUUUGUUAGCCGAGCAUUUACAUCAUUGCAUGGUCUAGAGGUAGGGUCGUUGUUGCAUGCACGAGAGGUGCAGAUUUUCGACCAUAUUUUGCAGGUAGCAGAGUGUUGUUGGUCGUGUCCGGUGCAGUUGGGCUCCUGGAUUAUGCCCACAGACUUAUUGGUCUUAGAGCAGCUGUAGUACUUUGAUGUUGUGCUUGGUAAGGAUUUGCUGGUGCGAUACUAUGCUACGAUCGACUGUGGAGCGAGGAUAGUGACGUUCCGCGAGCCAGGCCAUGAGGAGUUCACGUAUAGAGGCUGCAGGAGUACGUUGUUUGCCACUUGGAUUUCGUCGGCGAGGGCUCGACAGUUGAUGAGUGGAGGAUGCACUGCUUUUCUGGCGACGGUUGUAGAGGUGCCUACGGCGGCGCCAGGACACGAGGGUAUCCCUAUAGUUCGCGAGUUUUUGGAUGUUUUCUCCUCGGAGUUGACGACUUUACCGCCGGAUAGAGAGAUCGAGUUUGUGAUUGACGUAGUUCCUAGAACUUCGCCAAUCUCGAAGGCACCCUACUGAAUGGCACUGACAGAGCUAAGAGAGCUGAAGGCGCAGCUUCAGGAUCUGAUGGAUAAGGGAUAUGUGAGACCCAGUGUAUCGCCUUGGAGAGUGCCGGUGUUAUUCGUGAAGAGAAAGGAUGGUUCACUUAGAUUGUGUGUGGAUUAUCGGGAGUUGAAUAAAGUGACUAUCAAGAAUAAGUAUCCUUUGCCGUGUAUUGAUGAUCUGUUUGAUCAGCUGCAAGGAUCUUGUAUCUUUUCAAAGAUUGAUCUCCAGUUAAGUCACCACCAGUUGAGGGUGAGGGCCGAAGAUGUUUUCAAGACGACUUUUCGUAUUAUGAGUUCACUGUGAUGCCUUUUGGAUUGACGAAUGCCCCUGCCGCAUUUAUGGAUUUGAUGAAUAGAGUGUUCAAGCCGUACUUGGAUAGAUUCGUUGUUGUAUUCAUUGAUGAUAUUUUGAUAUACUCCUAGAGUGAUGUUGAGCAUUAGGAGCACUUGAGGAUAUUGUUACAGCUUUUGAGGGAGAAGAAGUUGUAUGCUAAAUUGAAGAAAUGCAAGUUUUGGCUGCAGGAGGUUUCUUUCUUAGGCCAUGUGAUUUCUGCAGUUGGAGUAGCAGUGGACCCGAAGAAGAUUGAUGUUAUUUGGGAUUGGCCCAGACCGACGACGGUGACUGAGGUAAGGAGUUUCCUUGGACUAGCUCGAUUUUAUCUUAGGUUUGUGGAAGGCUUUGCGAAGCUUUCCAUACCCCUCACUCGAUUGACUCGAAAGGGAAUUAAGUUUAUUCGGAGUGAGGAUUGUUAGAGGAGCUUCGACGAGUUGAGACUGAGGCUAAUAUCAGCUCUUAUCCUUGCCCUUCCAGUUAUGGGGGAAGGAUUUGUGAUCUACAGUGAUGCAUCACACAGCGGGCUGGGUUGUGUGUUGAUGCAGCAUGGUAGGGUAAUUGCUUAUGCUUCCUGACAAUUGAAGGAUUACGAGAAGAAUUACCCUACGCAUGACUUGGAGCUUGCUACAGUGAUUUUUGCCUUGAAGUUGUGGCGGCAGUAUUUGUAUGGCGAGCACUGUGAGGUUUUCACUGAUUAUAAAAGUCUCAAGUAUUUAUUCACCCAGAAGGAGUUGAAUCUGAGGCAGCGCCGGUGGUUGGAGUUAUUGAAAAAUUAUGACGUUAGUAUUUAGUAUCAUCCUGGCAAAGCGAAUGUGGUGGCAGAUGCGUUGAGCAGGAAGUCAGUGCAGAGCUUCAGCAUGUUGAUUACUUAGCGGAGACCGUUACUUGAGGAGCUACAGCAGUUGAGGCUUGAGAUAGUGUCCCCUCGGUCUAUUACGAAACUGAUGUCUAUGGUCUUGUAGCCCACUUUGUCGGACAGGAUCAUGGAGAAACAGAGUAGAGACUCUCACUUGUUGAGGAUUCGAGAGCAGUUAGAGAGGGGACAGGCAGAGGACUUUUCAGUGGACAGUUCGGGAGUACUCCGGUACAAGGACUCCUAUGAAUUCAGAGAUCUGAGAGGAGAUUUUGAGAGAGGCUCAUUACUCACUUUAUACGGUUCACCCCGGUGGAACCAAGAUGUAUAAGGACUUGAAGGCACACUUUUGGUGGAAUGGAAUGAAGCGGGACAUUGGCAGAUAUGUGGCUCAGUGUCUGACUUGCCAACAAGUAAAGGCAGAGCAUCAGGUGCUUGCUGGCAAGCUUCAGAACCUGCCAGUGCCCGAGUGGAAAUGGGAGCAGAUUACGAUGGACUUUGUCGUGGGAUUACCUAGAGCAUAGGGUGGUUUCGAUGUUAUUUGGGUGAUAGUAGACAGGCUAACCAAGUCUGCUCACUUCCUAUCAGUACAGACCACCUGGUCGAGAGAGAGACUCGCUUAGCUAUACUUGGAUGAGAUUGUUAGAUUGCAUGGUGUGCCUAUUUUGAUAGUAUCGGAUCGAGACCCGAGAUUUGUCUCGCAUUUCUGGAAGAGUCUUAAGACGGCCUUGGGUACACAGCUACAUUUCAGCACAACAUUUCACCCACAGACAGAUGGUCAGUCAUAGUGGACAAUUCAGACUCUGGAGGACAUACUGAGAGCAUGUGUCCUGAACUUUGGAGGAGGGUGGCAUCGACAUUUGAGACUGGUUGAGUUUGCAUACAACAACCGCUAUCAAACGAGCAUUCAGAUGACUCCGUUUAAAGUGUUGUAUGGACGCAGGUGUUCAUCCCCUUUGCAUUAGAGUGAUGUGGGUGCAAGGAACACUCUGGGACCUGAGAUUCUGAUAGAGGCAGAGGAGAAGGUCAAGGUUGCGCAACGAUACAUUUUGACAGCCCAGAGUCGACAGAGGAGCUACGCCGAUACCAGGAGACGAGACUUAGAGUUUCAGGUUGGAGAUCGUGUGUUUUUGAAAGUCUCGCCGUCCCGAGGGAUACACAGAUUCAGAGUACGUGGAAAGCUCAGUCCGCGCUUUGUAGGCCCUUUUGAGGUAUUGGAGUGAGUCGGACCAGUAGCAUACAGGAUUGCUCUACCCCCAGGAUUGGCCGGCAUUCAUGAUAUAUUUCACGUCUCAGUUUUGAGGAGAUACGUGUUCGACCCCUCCCACGUGAUUGACUUCACUCCACUGGAGGACUUGAGAUAUGGGGAGCGACCGGUGCGAAUUCGGGCACGUGAGAUGAAAGAAUUACGCAACCGGGUCAUUCCUUAUGUAAAAGUGCAGUGGAGCAAUCACGAGGAGCGUGAGGCGACGUGGGAGCCGGAGAUGGUGAUGCAGGAGUCCUAUCCCUACUUGUUCGAGACUCAGGUUUGAGGUAUGCUUCUAAGUUUCGAGGACGAAAGUUUUUAUAGUGGGGGAAGAUGUAGUAUACCUGGUGUUCUGUAGCCUGUGUGAUUUCAGCAUCUGAGGCUUGUCGACACAUCUGGAGAGUGUCGGGACCAAUCGGAGUCGUUUUGGCGCGAAAUGGACACAAAACGGAGUCAACGCGAGGCGAGAGUAGAGUUCUGACGCUGAAACCCGCAAAGUGCAGGAUUUCAGUGUUGAGUACCGGUACGGUAUCGGGCUGGUACUGGUACCCUGUGUGUGAGCUUGCGGGCUAAGAGGCCGAGUACCGGUAACCAAAUCGGGUACCGGUACUUUAGCUGUUUUUUGAGUUGGUAAAGGGGUAUGGUGGUCAUUUGUGGUGAUGGUUAUCCACGCCACCUACUCCCUUAUAUUUAUCCACUUGAGAGAGAUUAAUUAUCUCAUGUUCAUCUCUCUAGUUUUAAUGGUGUGCUUGGUGGAGGCUACGGCUUGAGCUCGGAUCGACGUCGACGUUGCGUCGGGGAGCCGUUCGAGCGCGAGGAUGUCGCGGUUGCACCGUUGGAGGCCGGACGAGCGUGUGUUUUCCCUUCUCUCGACUUCUCGCCGUUGUUGGACUAACUUUUCGAGGUGGGUUGAAGUUUACCAAAAUUGCCGAAAUAUCUCCUAAGUUUUUAUAUCGUCAACAUGUAUCAUAUGUUUAUUUUCUUGCUAGUACUCGAAUUCAUGGAUUAGGCUUAAAAUAUGAAUUUGGAGUUAAGUAGUAGUAGUAUAAUUUUACAUGUUGGACUUGAAAUUGACUUAGGAGAAAACUGUAAAUCCUACACUGUCAUUUUCUGAAAACUACCAGAUUUAGCGUUAGAUGCUGUGGUUUGUUUGUAUUGCCGCAAUUUGUAUGCGGUAGAUACUCAGAUUAGUGUAGGAGGGGUUUACGCUCGUACUGGGAUACCGAGUUUAUUUUACAAUAGUGUGUAGACUGUUUCGGACUGUCGGGUGUCGUCGCGGUUGAUGGUGGACCGAGAUUUCUGUAUUUGCAUUAGAUUGUGCCAAGGGUACGUGAGUUUUAGUUGUUAGACCCAUUUGCUUUGAUUAUAGCCUGUGAGAGCCUGAUUGAGCUCAGUAGAGACAUACUUGCAUACUCGAUUUGGUAGCGCCCACAAGUGCCACUCCGGAGUUGGGCUUUGUGCUUUUGCUUUGUUGUCGAAGCAGUCCUGUUUGGAUGGUGCUUUAGGACAGGCCACCUCAGUGAUGGUGUGCGAUAUAGCUCGGUGCUUUAGGACCGGCCACCUCAGUGGUGGUGUGCGGUAUAGCUCGGAAGCAGGCGGGAUGGGCCUGUUGGCAGUCCCUUGACAGUAUAGUCGUUAUUGCAGGGGAUGCAUAUCUAUAGAUAGUUAGAGUUGAUUAGUGAUAGUAUAGUGGCAUAUAGCUGUAGAGUUUUACCAGCUUCCUUUAUUAUCCUUCGCACACUUUCUAUAGACUUAGUGGGUGAGCCGUUGAGGUCGGUAGCGGUACCCAUUGAGGACUAGUUCUUCUUGCAGUAGUUCUCACACCCAGUUGUUGAUCCCUUUUCGCAGAGCCUUUUUUUGUGGCUGUUGCUGUCACCGAUACUGAUCGUGGAAGGGGAGUUGCGAACUAGAUCCCUUCCCUGGUUGCAGUACUAGAGGAGUAUCAGCUGCAGAUAGUUUUGGUUUUUGGUUCAUGUACAUACUUAUGUUGUUACUCGCUGGAGCGAGAGAUGUUGUAUCAGGGAGACUUUGUAUGUAUGGUGAACCUGUUGUUUAUUUAUAUACAGUUCAGUUUAGCAGCUCUAUACUACUAGUUGUAGUUUUGUAUGAUUACAGAUACAGGUACAGUUAUCGCUUUGUAUACAGAGAAAAUUCUUUAAUUUGUAUACGACGGGUCUGUUUGCGUGCCAGGGAAAACGUGGUAAUCCGGGACGUGACAGAUAGGUAGCACGCUAUUCGUUUCGUUUAUUUCAGUUAGAAAUAAACUUAGCUGAAAAUGUGAAUAAAUUAGGAUUCGAACUUGGGAUCUCGGAUACCAACUAUCAAGUCCUUUGCCACAUGCUCUAGGGACGGUCGAUG
RNAcentral lists this long non-coding RNA (9146 nucleotides) under Ananas comosus (pineapple). RNAcentral describes it as "long non-coding RNA (ACOM_LNC035057)". The record is from RNAcentral. Lineage: Eukaryota; Viridiplantae; Streptophyta; Magnoliopsida; Poales; Bromeliaceae.